This 491-nucleotide ribosomal RNA is filed under the name uncultured bacterium. RNAcentral's name for it is "partial 16S ribosomal RNA". It matches the Rfam family "Bacterial small subunit ribosomal RNA", at positions 29 to 506 of the family's 1533-position model. The record is from RNAcentral.
AGUGAACGCUGGCGGUAGGCCUAACACAUGCAAGUCGAACGGCAGCACAGUAAGAGCUUGCUCUUACGGGUGGCGAGUGGCGGACGGGUGAGGAAUACAUCGGAAUCUACUUUUUCGUGGGGGAUAACGUAGGGAAACUUACGCUAAUACCGCAUACGACCUACGGGUGAAAGCAGGGGAUCUUCGGACCUUGCGCGAUUGAAUGAGCCGAUGUCGGAUUAGCUAGUUGGCGGGGUAAAGGCCCACCAAGGCGACGAUCCGUAGCUGGUCUGAGAGGAUGAUCAGCCACACGGAAACGAGAACACGGUCCAAACUCCUACGGGGGGCAGCAGUGGGGAAUUUGGGACAAGGGGGGCAGGCCUAAUCCGGCCAUACCGGGUGGGUGAAGAGGGCCUUCGGUUGGUAAAGCCCUUUUGUUGGGAAAAAAAACCGGCGGUUUAAAACCCCGCUGUUCUGACGGUACCCAAAGAUUAAGCACCGGCUAACUUGGU